Molecule: long non-coding RNA, 644 nt
Filed under: Fukomys damarensis (Damara mole-rat)
Lineage: Eukaryota; Metazoa; Chordata; Mammalia; Rodentia; Bathyergidae
Description: lncRNA (ENSFDAG00000030537.1)
Source: RNAcentral
CUCAAAGCUGCAGUGCACUGGCUCAAUGUUUUCCUUCUUUUUCUGCUCCCUUGACAGCCGUCCAAACUGCAUGAGGAUAACAAGCCGGUCUGCCUGCUUUAGCUACAGCUCCCAUCGAUCUGUUGUUUGGUUCCCUACCAAAUCUCUUGUAUUUCUAUUUCGGUUAUAGGAUUUGCUUCUCGGAGGAACUGAAUGGACACAAGACUUAGUUUAUUUUCGCUCCUGCAGAAGGCCUUCAGGAGGCCUGUUGUCGGGGUAACUGCAUUUUCUUACGAGGCAGGACUAGCAGAAGACAGGCACUCACUGAAAGGCUGCUAUGAUGGAGUUGCCACAGACAGAUCUGACCUGGACGGGAGCUCUUUUCCCGCUGCUGCGCAACAGAAUAAUCAGAACCCGAGUUAGGUCCGGUCCAAAUUCACGCUCCUCUCCACUCGGGGCAGCCCACACACCGAUUCAGCGCCAGCCCGUUUGGGUUCCCCUGCCGAGCCUCACUUCGGGUUUGAUGGUUGCUCCUCACAAGGAGGUCCAGUUCCAGAGCUGGCUUGGCGGACCACUCGUCAUUGAGAAAGGAGGGAGAUCAUUGUUCCAACAACGCUCCAUGGACCAACUUACAGACACAGUUAGAAGUCGAGAUUUGGCAGCCG